AUUCUUUCGGGAUGAAGAGCAUUGUGACUGAGCGGCGGACGGGUGAGUAACGCGUGGGUAACCUGCCUCAUACAGGGGGAUAACAGUUAGAAAUGGCUGCUAAUACCGCAUAAGCCCACGGUGCCGCAUGACACUGAGGGAAAAGGAUUUAUUCGCUUUAGGAUGGACUCGCGUCCAAUUAGCUAGUUGGUGGGGUAACGGCCUACCAAGGCGACGAUCAGUAGCCGACCUGAGAGGGUGACCGGCCACAUUGGGACUGAGACACGGCCCAAACUCC
This 277-nucleotide ribosomal RNA is filed under the name uncultured Eubacteriales bacterium. RNAcentral's name for it is "uncultured Clostridiales bacterium partial 16S ribosomal RNA". It matches the Rfam family "Bacterial small subunit ribosomal RNA", at positions 71 to 339 of the family's 1533-position model. Lineage: Bacteria; Bacillati; Bacillota; Clostridia; Eubacteriales. The record is from RNAcentral.